Molecule: long non-coding RNA, 2682 nt
Organism: Hypanus sabinus (Atlantic stingray)
Lineage: Eukaryota; Metazoa; Chordata; Chondrichthyes; Myliobatiformes; Dasyatidae
Exons: 3
Source: RefSeq, a predicted model, not a curated record
UUACCCAAUUCCUAGAGAUUAACUGAUUUAUUUUUUUUAAACUUAAUAGCUCUCUGAAAAUACUGCACACAUAGAAAUGUCACUGUAUGCAAGAUAACAUAUUUAUUAUUUGAACAACUGACUGCCAGACUACUUCUUGUCGGGGAACGCAUUUAAGAUGAGGAAGAAAAAGCAUGAAAACCAUUCAAUCUACCAGAGAAAAUGUGAACCAGAUUUUGUUCAUUUGCAGAUGCUGACUACUGAUUACUUCCAACAUUUUCUAUUUUUAUUCCUCGGGCUGAUUGUUAUUAAACAAAAAUGCUAAACUUCCCUCAGAACUGUUACCACAGAGCUGUAUGCUGCUAAUAUGAAUGUCUAAAAUUCUGUGGCGCUGUGGCAACAGAUAAAAUUCCAAAAAAAUAUUUUUGAAGUUAUAAUUCCAAUAUAAAUGAAUUAUUGCAUAAGCCUAUGUCCUUCAUUCAAAGACAAACUAUCAAUAACUUCUGUUUGUACAGCAAAAGGACUUGAAGAAUGGCUAGUUACAAAGAUCAGAACCUAGAAAAUGUGUUCAGUUGUGUUGAGAAUGUAAUGUGUUACAACAAAAAUUGCACAAAGUUUAAAUUUUGAAAGUAAAUUUAUUAUCAAAGUACAUACAUAGUAUGUUACCAUAUACUACUUUGAGAUUAAUUUUCUUGCAGGCUUUUACAGGGAAAAAAUACAACAGAAUUUACAAAAAAAAUGUUGUUUGUGGCAGCAAGACAUAAUAAUUACUGGAAGUUACAUUAAAUAACAAAGUAAUUGUUGUUUUUUUAAAAAAUCUUUUAAUUAAUUUUAAACAACAUAAAUGAAACAUAAAUUCAGAGAGUUUGAAAGUACAUAAUUAAUAGGUUAAGUAUACAUUCAUGAUGAUAAUCCAUAUACGAUAACCUCCCAAACUCAUAGCAAUUGCAAAAAAAAGGAGUAACAAAGUAAUUGUUGUGAAGUGGAAUAGUGAGAUAGUGUUGAUAGGUUCAUGGACCAUUCAGAAAUCUGAUGGUGGAGAGGUGUAAGCUAUUUCUAAGAUGUUGUGUGUCAGUCUCCAACCUCCUGCACCUUUUUUCUGAUGGCAGUAAGUAGAAGAGGACAUGCUCGGGUGAUAAGGGUCCUUAAUGUUGAGGCACUGAAGCACUGUCUCUUGAAACUGUCCUCAAUGGUGGGUUAUUCCCAUGAUUGAACUGGCUGGCUGUAUAAUCCUCUGCAGCCUCAUUCAAUCCUGCACAUUGGAGCUUCCAUAUCAGCCACUGAUGCAAUCAGUCAGAAUGUUCUCCAUGUUAAAUCUGUAGAAAUUUACAUGAGUCUUUGCUAGCAUACUAAAUCUCCUCAAAAUGCUAAUGAGGUACAGCAGCAGGUGUGCUUUCUUCCUGCAUUAAUGGAAUGGACCCAAAAUAGAUCCUCUGAGAUUUUGAUGCCCUGGAACUGAAACUGCUCACCCUUUCCACCGCUGACCCUUCAACGAGGACUGGUAUGUGUUCUUCUGACUUCUCCUUCUUGACGUCCACGGUCAAUUUCUUGGUUUACUGACGUUGAGUGCAAGGUUGCUGUUGCAACAGCACUCAACCAGCAGAUCAAUCUUCCUCCUGCAUGCCUCCUUGUCACCAUUUGUGAUCCUGCCAACAGCAGUGGUGUUUUUGGAGAAUUUAUAGAUAGCGUUUGAGCUGGCCUAGCCACACAGUCAUGCAUAUAGAAAGAGUAGAACAGUGGGCUAAGCAUGCAUACUUGAGGUACACUGUUGUUGAUUGUCAGCAAGAGGAUGUCAGUACCAAUCUGCAAGCUCGUUGAUCAGCUUGACUGGUUAUUUGCUACUUCCUAUCAUCUCCUUGGACUGCAUACAACAUAAAAGUUUUCAAUCUACCGACAAAGAUUCACAUAGACUACUCAUCUUUCAAGGAUUAUUUAUGAAGCUUGCUAUAUUAAAUGCAAAUAUAUAGCCAAAAUCAAUUAUUCAAUUUGAAAGAUAACACAAUCAAAUUGCAAAGAACAAUAUGUGUUUCUGCCACAACAUGCAUUACCUAGGUGACUGUGGCAGCAACUUCCUAACUUCCACACAAGAUGGACAAGAGUGGUAGAUUCAAUGGGAACACCCUAGCAUCCUGAGCUGGAAAUAAAGUGGAUUGCAUUUAAUUGGAACACAUCAGGACAAGUCCAAUUUGGUCCAAAUUGCAGAAGUUUUACUGAAAUAGGUAAAAGGUUUAAAAAAGGCAAAUUGAGUAACAAAUUGUAUAUUUAAAUGAAAUAUAGAACAAAUUAGAACACUACCAAUACUAAUACAUAAUAUAAAAUUGUGUAUUAGUUCCUAGCAGAACAGUUCUGAAUUGUCUUACUGUUUAUCACCAACUAUCAGUGACAAAAAUCACUGCUUUUUGAACACAAACACAUGCAACUGAUGCUAUUUUAAAACUGUUUGCUCGAAGCACUGUGUUGUGUCUAAUGACCAAGCAAACGCACACGACUAACGCUAGUUAGAAGCGGCAACACUCUCCAGCCCCAAUGAAGCUGCAUAGUUCCCAAAUAAAUGAAGGGAAUCCCGGCUAUUUUCUUGAUUAGUUUUUGUCUUUUAAGAAUUGUUCCAAUCAAGUGGCUGCCCUGCUUAACCAAUGACCCAAUUAAUUAAUGACCCAUUGUAUAUCCGCAAUUCCUUAUCAUCACAGGCUCCAAGUCUUGGAG